UUCCAGCUGUCACUGGAAUAUAAAACCAGAUAGGAUCAUCAUGGCCUCAUAUAUGGUCCCCUUUAAGUGAAGAUAGCAGCACAAAACACAGCAUGGGACACAUCCUGUGUGUCCCAAAACACUCUAUAAUAAGGAAGUAAAAAACAAAGUCCAAAUACACAGUGAGUUGCAAGAAGGAUCAAGACAUUGCUAAGUUCCUGAGGCCUGUAGCUCUGUACCUGGAGGCCCUGGAGUAUUUCUGAGGCCCAAGCUGAGUGUGUGCUUCAACUGUCUUACCUUUGAGUCAGGCUGAGGAAGGAAUACUUUGUCUCCCUCCUUUGUGUUCUGGUCCUUGAGGGAGCUCUGCACAAGAGUUUGGGAGGGAGCCCCAAGGUCCUUGCUCUGAGCACCUGCAUUUUGCCUUUAGCAGUGGCUGUUCCUAAGUGCUUUGAAAGAGGAUGUAAACUUCACUUCCAGAGCCAAAGCAAGGAUAAAAGGUAAAAUAUUGUUUGUGGAAGACACUGCAGUGAGCCCUUCAAGAACUGAGAUUUUGGAACGGUGCAGAAGUUUCCUAUGCAAAUCCUACAGUUUUUGUCGAAUUAAAAUCUGCAAGUUCUUAGUGAUGAA
Molecule: long non-coding RNA, 606 nt
Organism: Passer domesticus (house sparrow)
Lineage: Eukaryota; Metazoa; Chordata; Aves; Passeriformes; Passeridae
Exons: 2
Source: RefSeq, a predicted model, not a curated record